AUUGAACGCUGGCGGCAGGCCUAACACAUGCAAGUCGAGCGGAGGAAGGGAGCUUGCUCCUGGAUUCAGCGGCGGACGGGUGAGUAAUGCCUAGGAAUCUGCCUGGUAGUGGGGGAUAACGUCCGGAAACGGGCGCUAAUACCGCAUACGUCCUGAGGGAGAAAGUGGGGGAUCUUCGGACCUCACGCUAUCAGAUGAGCCUAGGUCGGAUUAGCUAGUUGGUGGGGUAAAGGCCUACCAAGGCGACGAUCCGUAACUGGUCUGAGAGGAUGAUCAGUCACACUGGAACUGAGACACGGUCCAGACUCCUACGGGAGGCAGCAGUGGGGAAUAUUGGACAAUGGGCGAAAGCCUGAUCCAGCCAUGCCGCGUGUGUGAAGAAGGUCUUCGGAUUGUAAAGCACUUUAAGUUGGGAGGAAGGGCAGUAAGUUAAUACCUUGCUGCUUUGACGUUACCAACAGAAUAAGCACCGGCUAACUUCGUG
This 484-nucleotide ribosomal RNA is filed under the name uncultured bacterium. Its description in RNAcentral is "partial 16S ribosomal RNA". It matches the Rfam family "Bacterial small subunit ribosomal RNA", at positions 30 to 507 of the family's 1533-position model. The record is from RNAcentral.